This is a long non-coding RNA of Oxyura jamaicensis (ruddy duck), 142 nucleotides long. RefSeq lists it as uncharacterized. Lineage: Eukaryota; Metazoa; Chordata; Aves; Anseriformes; Anatidae. The transcript is spliced from 3 exons. The record is from RefSeq and is a predicted model, not a curated record.
AGAUGAGGCUGCUCAGUACCUGUGUCAAGAUGGCUUUUGAAGAUCUCCAAGGAUGCAGACUCCACCACCUCUCUGGGCAAGCUGUGCCAGUGCUGUCACCUGCAGAGUAAAGAAUUGCUUUCUGGUGUUCAGAAGGCGUCUC